UCUUGUUAAUGGCCUACAAAGCCUCAGUAUGACGGCGGUCUUUAAUUAAUAAAAAGGCAUGGGAUGUUGAAAGCAGUGAUUGAAAGUAUGAGCGACGGCAGACACUACCAACCAAAUGACCGAGCCUGGCUAGUGAGAGAGCUAUAUUAACUUAUAGUUCCUAAAGCCAGACACACCUUAAUUCCUGCCUGGAGCUGUCCCUCUACAAUGUGUUUUGUCACGGUUCAUAAUGAGUGGCCGAAACAUAUCUGUAUAAUUUGGCGCAACAUAUUACAUUAUGCGGUGUUUAAUAAUACAGAAAAUAGUUUUCAUAUUCAGUUUCUAGCUACUUCAAUGAGUUAACAUUACGUCUUUAACAUCCGUUUUUUUUCAAAUUCAGUCUGCUUGGUUCAUGUCAUCAUACACCGACGGUGUGGGGCGUCCUUUGUGGUAUCAAUCACUGGUUUGAGUGGUCGAGAGAGGAUGAUUUACAGGCCUCCGUUAUAUAGUUUAACUUUUGUUGUGCGUGUCGCUAAAACACACUAAACAAGAACACACAGUUGUACGUGAAAUUGUUCGAAGCGGCAUGACAAUCAUCACUUGUAGGAACGAUAACUCGUGUACGUGUUAUGACGCGUUGAGUGCAGCACUGUGACAGAGACGAACCCACAACAUGGGAGGUUGGAUCGAUCGCAAACGGAUGCCUCUAUAGGGAUCGGUUAAGGGGCUAUAUGGAAACAAAGGCGUCUCAUCCUGUAAAAGGGCAGUUUUUUCCAGUGAAAUAUCUUCGCUAAAUCAGUUUCCCCACUGCCCGGUUCCUGUGUGGAUGUCCGACUGUGAAGGAGGAAAACAGACGACGUGACCCCGGCUGAUCAAGACUGACACAACUGAAGCAUAUUAUGGAGCACAGACUAGGUAAAAAGACCCAACCAUUUGACCUUACAAUCAACAAUUUCAUGAAAUGGACUAAAUCGAUAAAAAAGAGUCGAAAAUCGGACGAUCAUGAGACUUUUACGGUCAAGUCAAAGCUUGCCCUGUCUGCCUUUGUAAACAGCUUGAUCAAGUCCCACAAAACAGAGCUCGUUCGUGCCAACGGAGUAACUUGCACCAACUACACACACAAUUCCUUGUAUAUUGCGUUAAGACUUUGCUAUGAGCUAGAUUUGAGAUCUCAAAAGGUCGUGAGUGAGCUUAUUCGAGAAAUUUUUCUGUGCGAAGGAAAUCUUCAUGCUAUUUUUAGCAUCAUCAACGAAAGUCACGUGACCAUGGGAUUCCCAAGAAGUGGGUCGCUGAAUAUCCACUCUUUCACGUUGUACCCGAGAGCAACUUCUAACAACUUCAGUGACAUUGUCAUUCCAGCCUUGACAUAUUAUGUUCAAAAUAGUGUUAAUCUCGAGAAAGAUAUACGGGAAAAUAAUUUAUCGCAGUACAACUACAAAAGCAAGAUCUUUCCUAACCCAACCUAUGGGUGAAGAUCAAACUUUGUCACCCUUAAUGGCUGCUACGAUGAGGAAAGAGCCUGAACUGGUCUUGAUGUUGCUAAGGUACGGUGCGGAUCCAACAGUUGCUAUGGACCCUGACAGCGUUUCCCUUACAGUCAAUCCAAUUCAGUAUAUUGUCACAUGCCUCAACAGUUUCACAUCAAUACGAUCUUCUUCCUGGUUGGAUAAGUACCAUUACUCUGACAGUCUCAUGGCUGAUGGUGAGAGAUGCCACAAAAUAUUAGAACUGUUUCAGCGAUCAGUCCAUCACAUCCAUUUACAAGUCUCCUCGGGAGUGUUGGGAGAUAAUGACAAUGAUCUCACUUACUACCUGCAUCCGAAACUGACAGCUUUGGCACAGAAUAGUGCCACGCCUACCCUACAACACUUGUGUCGCUGUGCGGUCCGCAGACAUCUAGCAGCAGCGUCAUGUGAAACAAUUCCAGAUGCAAUCAAAUGUCUUCCUCUUCCACAACUUAUGAAAGAGUUUUUGGAUUUGAAAAGCUAGCUAUUUUUAGACAACUCAAAUGAAAUUUCCAUGAAGACAUACAUACUGUUGACAUAAAGUUAAACACACUGUAUAGAAACUCCAGAGCAAUUCAGUAACUUGAACCAUUUGUCAUUACAUAAUGGAACUGAUGCAUACAAAUAUAUGACCCAUGCAUUUGAUAUAAACAUUUAGAGUUUUAGCCAUCAAAUAAAGAUUUCUCAUUAAUCCGGGUGUAUAGGAUGUCUCAUACAGGAUGUACAUAUAUUCACCUUCAUCUUAUGGCAUAGAAGAAACCUUUUUGAUCGUGCAUUCAUAUGUAACAAAUUUAUCAUAACAAAUUUAAAAGUCAUAAUAUAUUGAAAAAUAGCUUUGUGUCGCAAGUAUGGUAUUCAUCUUAAAGUAUGAUACAUUCAUCGUCAAGUGAGUGAGUGAGUAUACUUUUACGCUGCUUUUAGCAAUAUUCCAGCAAUAUCACGGCGGGGUACACCAGAAAUGGACUUCACACAUUGUACCCAUUUGGAGAAUUGAACCCGGGUCUUCGGUGUGACGAGCAAAUGCUGAACUUGAAGUAUGGCAGCUGAUUCUCAUAUGAUACAGUCAACUAGGACACGUCUAACAAGUAACAGAUAAAUGCACUGUAUGUUCUAUGUUGAUUUCUAUCUAAAUAUUCCAACUUGAGUAGCACUCUUGACAGCCAUACAAUUGUUUUGUUUUGUACAACCUGUACUGUGCCCGAAUGAAUGACAUUCAGUGAAAGUUCAUCCACCCUCUGUAUGCUGACUGUUAUAGUCCUGUGAAUAUGCAUGACACACAGUAGAUUAACAAUACACUCAUACAUAUGUAUGUUCAAACAACAAGUGUUUUCCUUCUGUGUUAUUUGUUAUCAGUUUCCUCAUCCACUGGUUACAUUUGCUACAAUCUUACUUCUUGAAGAUGUUCAGCACACACUCCAUAUAGCACCUGCCAUGUGGAGAUAUCACAUGAAAACUAGUUUUUGAAUGAAACUACAUAAAAUACAUUUGAUAAUUUUUAUGAAUGUUAUUUAUGUACCGGGUAAAUAAUUUAUUCGAAUGAAAGAUGAUAUUUUUGUUUGUAUUUUGUAUAACUUAUAUGAUUUGAUGUUCAAUGUGACAGAGAUAGACACACUUGUAAUAGUAAUACCAAACUAGUCCACAGAUCAUUUUGGAGUAAGUGUUACGGAAUUGACAACUGAUAAAAACAACUAGUCUGACUUGAUAAUCACUAGUCUGGGGUUAAAGGCUAGCAGCUGUGUCUAUUUCUGAUGUUGUUUUCUUUGCUGUUGUUUUUAAUAAUAAAAUUGUAAAUAUAAUAUAUAUUUAUGAAACCAAUUGACAAAUAUGAGCUAUUGCUCAGUAAGAUGUCGCAUAAGUAUGAAAGAACUGAACUCUGGGGUAUUUUUAAAAACCUGAAUCUGCCUUGCCCUCUCUAACUGUUUCUGUUCCUACCUGUAUGUGUUUCUGUCUGAAUGCGUCUGAAUGUCUGUGUUUCCGCUUGUAGAUGUGUCUGAAUGUCUGUUUCUGCCUGUAUGUCUUAAUGUCUGUUUCUGUCUUUAUGUGUCUGAAUGUCUGUUUUUGCUUGUAGAUGUGUCUGAAUGUCUGUUUCUGUCUGAAUGUCUGUUUCUGUCUGAUGUGUCUGAAUGUCUGUUUUUGCUUGUAGAUGUGACUGAAUGUCUGUUUCUGUCUGAAUGUCUAUGUGUCUGAAUGUCUGUUUCUGUCUGAAUGUCUAUGUUUUUGCUGGUAGAUGUGUCUGAAUGUCUGAAUGUCUGUUUCUGUCUGAAUGUCUAUGUUUUUGCUGGUAGAUGUGUCUGAAUGUCUGUUUCUGUCUGAAUGUCUGUUUCUGUCUGAAUGUCUGUUUCUGUCUGAAUGUCUGUUUCUGUCUGAAUGUCUGUUUUUGCUUGUAGAUGUGUCUGAUUGUCUGUUUCUGUCUGAAUCUCUGUUUCUGCUCGUAGAUGUGUCUGAAUGUUUGUGUUUCUGCCUGUAGAUGUGUCUGUAUGUCUGUUUCUGCUUGCAUAUAUGUGUCUGAAUGUCUCUGUUCCUGUCUGAAUGUUUUUGUACAUCUCUGUCCAUGUUCAAGUGAUCCUGACACAGAGGUUCAAGUCAGACUGUCACGUUUCCAGGGUGCCCUUGUACAAAGCUAUCUUAGCGUUAAGGUGACCGUAACUCCCAUACCUUAACAUGGACUUAAGGUAGUCUUAGCGCUAAGGUGGUUUUGUACAACGGCACCCAAGACUGUAGUGGAUGGAGACCACUUGAUUCAUGUAACUGCCAACUUGAUUAUUCACACGAUACUGCCAAUGAAUUUGCUGUGCAAUUGAAUGUUUGAAUAAAGAUUGUUAUCAUGUGA
This 4314-nucleotide long non-coding RNA is filed under the name Haliotis rubra (blacklip abalone). RNAcentral's name for it is "uncharacterized LOC124272742". Lineage: Eukaryota; Metazoa; Mollusca; Gastropoda; Lepetellida; Haliotidae. The record is from RNAcentral.